UACAGAGGUCCCGAGCGUUGUCCGGAUUUAUUGGGCGUAAAGAGCGUGUAGGCGGCCAGGUAGGUCCGGUGUGAAAACUCGAGGCUUAACCUCGAGAUGUCAUCGGAAACCAUCUGGCUAGAGUCCGGAAGAGGAAAGUGGAAUUCCUGGUGUAGCGGUGAAAUGCGCAGAUAUCAGGAAGAACACCCGUGGCGAAGGCGGCUCUCUGGGACGGUACUGACGCUGAGACGCGAAAGCGUGGGGAGCGAACAGG
Molecule: ribosomal RNA, 253 nt
Filed under: uncultured bacterium
Lineage: Bacteria
Description: partial 16S ribosomal RNA
Rfam family: Bacterial small subunit ribosomal RNA
Source: RNAcentral